RNAcentral lists this ribosomal RNA (469 nucleotides) under uncultured Ehrlichia sp. RNAcentral's name for it is "bacterial SSU rRNA". It matches the Rfam family "Bacterial small subunit ribosomal RNA", at positions 26 to 520 of the family's 1533-position model. Lineage: Bacteria; Pseudomonadati; Pseudomonadota; Alphaproteobacteria; Rickettsiales; Anaplasmataceae. The record is from RNAcentral.
AGAACGAACGCUGGCGGCAAGCCUAACACAUGCAAGUCGAACGGACAAUUGUUUAUAUCUUUGGUAUAAAUAAUUGUUAGUGGCAGACGGGUGAGUAAUGCGUAGGAAUCUACCUAGUAGUAUGGAAUAGCCAUUAGAAAUGAUGGGUAAUACUGUAUAAUCCCUGCGGGGGAAAGAUUUAUCGCUAUUAGAUGAGCCUACGUUAGAUUAGCUAGUUGGUAAGGUAAUGGCUUACCAAGGCUAUGAUCUAUAGCUGGUCUGAGAGGACGAUCAGCCACACUGGAACUGAGAUACGGUCCAGACUCCUACGGGAGGCAGCAGUGGGGAAUAUUGGACAAUGGGCGAAAGCCUGAUCCAGCUAUGCCGCGUGAGUGAAGAAGGCCUUCGGGUUGUAAAGCUCUUUCAAUAGGGAAGAUAAUGACGGUACCUAUAGAAGAAGUCCCGGCAAACUCCGUGCCAGCAGCCGCGG